RNAcentral lists this ribosomal RNA (547 nucleotides) under uncultured bacterium. Its description in RNAcentral is "bacterial SSU rRNA". It matches the Rfam family "Bacterial small subunit ribosomal RNA", at positions 355 to 896 of the family's 1533-position model. The record is from RNAcentral.
UAGGGAAUUUUUCACAAUGAGCGAAAGCUUGAUGGAGCAAUGCCGCGUGAACGAUAAAGGUCUUUAAGAUUGUAAAGUUCUUUUAUUUGGGAAGAAUGACUUUAGCAGGUAAUGGCUAGAGUUUGACUGUACCAUUUUGAAUAAGUGACGACUAACUAUGUGCCAGCAGUCGCGGUAAUACAUAGGUCGCAAGCGUUAUCCGGAUUUAUUGGGCGUAAAGCAAGCGCAGGCGGAUUGAAAAGUCUGGUGUUAAAGGCAGCUGCUUAACAGUUGUAUGCAUUGGAAACUAUUAAUCUAGAGUGUGGUAGGGAGUUUUGGAAUUUCAUGUGGAGCGGUGAAAUGCGUAGAUAUAUGAAGGAACACCAGUGGCGAAGGCGAAAACUUAGGCCAUUACUGACGCUUAGGCUUGAAAGUGUGGGGAGCAAAUAGGAUUAGAUACCCUAGUAGUCCACACCGUAAACGAUAGAUACUAGCUGUCGGGGCGAUCCCCUCGGUAGUGAAGUUAACACAUUAAGUAUCUCGCCUGGGUAGUACAUUCGCAAGAAUG